RNAcentral lists this ribosomal RNA (1191 nucleotides) under Eurythoe complanata. RNAcentral describes it as "partial 16S ribosomal RNA". The stretch from base 702 to 1090 matches the Rfam family "Bacterial large subunit ribosomal RNA", at positions 2049 to 2651 of the family's 2925-position model. Lineage: Eukaryota; Metazoa; Annelida; Polychaeta; Eunicida; Amphinomidae. The record is from RNAcentral.
UGAAAAGUCAUCCAGAAUCUUAUACCAGUAGAAACACUCGUACCUUUUGCAUCAUGGCCAUACAAUUCAAAAAGAAACCCUACAACCCCGAACCUUUAUAGAGCUGAACCGGCCCCGUUAAGAACUAAAAGAGAAAUAUAGAAAGAUUUCUUUCAGAGACCGUUUCAGAGGCUACAUACCAUCCGCGAAAAGAAAUAGCUGGCUCUACUUUAAAUUCAUCAAAGUGAAAGAAACUGGCUCACGACGCCUGUUCUCCUAUUCAGUAGAGGACAAGCUCUACUGACCCAGCAAUCCCCCUACCAUAUUAAGCCCGUAGACCUAAAAGUGGCCAACGACUUAGUGUAUAACAACUUCCUAAUAUAAGAAAAAUAAUUAAUACAAUAAUAUGCUAACAAAAAAGUAGACCUUUUUUCAACCCUUUAAUUAUGCUUACAUAUACGGAUUACUACUUACCACACUACCCCACAAUCACUUUAUCACAUAUGAUGAAGGAACUCGGCAACCCCAAGCCCCGACUGUUUAUCAAAAACAUUGCCUCCUGACUUUAUUAUAGGAGGUAUAUUCUGCCCAGUGAACUAUUCAACGGCCGCGGUACCCUGACCGUGCAAAGGUAGCAUAAUCACUUGCCUUUUAAUUGAAGGCUGGAAUGAACGAACCAACGUGAGCUUAGCUGUCUCCGUCAUACACAUAAAAAUUAACCUUCAGGUGAAAAGGCCUGAAUAUAACUAAAAGACAAGAAGACCCUAUCGAGCUUCAUUGCUAAAUUAUUAUAAUACCUAACCCAAAUUUAAGCCCAUAUAAUAACUAAGCUAUUUUGUUGGGGCAACAAAGGAACACCUAAAGCUUCCUAAAUCCAAUAAACUAACAAACCACGACCCAAACAAUUGAUCAAAGGACAAAGCUACCGUAGGGAUAACAGGUUAAUUUUUCUCGAGAGCCCACAUUAACAGAAAAGUUUGACACCUCGAUGUUGGCUUAGGCUACCCCAUUAAUGCAGAAGUUAAUAACGGUGGGUUUGUUCAACCCUUAAUAGCCUACAUGAGCUGAGUUCAGACCGGCGCAAGCCAGGUUAGCUUCUAUCUUUAGCAUUCUACCUCCUCCCGUUUGUACGAAAGGACCACGGCAGGUAAAAACAAUUUAAUACUUAAAGAAAUUAUCUAACCUACACUAUCUACUUUAAAUUCUUACAUC